ACUACCUGAAAGGAGGCUGUCAUGAGGUGCCCAGGAGAACUGCCGCAGCCCCUGCUGGGGUGGGUGCCCCAGCCUAAAGCAAAGGAUGAUACUAGUGAGAAAACCAAAGACAAAAGCAAUCACAGUGUCUGACUGUUCUUAUUCUGAGUGGCGGGGGUGAAGAUCAGUACAAAUGCAGACAGCUGUCAGGCUGUGCUCUGCACUCUGGUCCUCUGCUCACAGCAGCCACGUGUCUGGUCAGUCAGCACUGACCUGCAAGAGCUCACUGCCUGCGUGUGCAAUACAGGGUCACGUUAGUUGCUGAGAGAUUUUUUUUUCCCCUGGAAUUUCUGCUCUGAGGCUGACCUGACUGAAGCAAGGCAAUGUGCAGAAUAUCACCGAUUAAAAAGGUGUUCAUGUGGGAUAUCAAAUAAUAUUCCACUCCACUUCUGGAGUGGAAGAGCCUUUACUUCUAGUUCUUGCAGAACUUGGUGUUCAAAGAUGCACAGUAACUUGUGCAGACACAUUGGAAAUUGAGAUCUGUCAGCCUUGAAAGCCACUCAGCUCUCUAUGCUGACAUAUCGUGUCCAACUCGUUCUUUCUCAUUUGUGGACUAAUGCACUCAGUGUGGUAGCUAAGUCAUUCCAGCAUGGUUAAGGCCCCAUGACUGAUGUCAGCAGUCAAACCCAUGGGGCUUUUCGUUUUCAAAUCAAAGCACAUCAAACAAAAUAGUUUAGCAAAGAACAAAGAAAAGCUGAAGCAGACUUUGGAAUGCAUUGAAAUUGGCAGCGACUUGUUUUUCUUAGCCUGAAGCUAAACCAAAUGUAUUGUAUUAGGAUUUUAGUUUGGUGGGGCUUCGUUUGUUUGUUUGUUUGAGGGUUUGUUUGCUUAUGUUACUAUUUUUGGGGUUUGAGGGUUUCAUUUGUUUUUAAAGAGGCAUGUAUUUGCUUCCAGAUAUUUUUUGUUUAAACUUGCUUUUGAACUUUUGUUUAAAAUGCAAGGCCUGAUCCUGGGCUGUGUUAGAUUAGGAUUCCCUCCUGCUACGACAGAGGAAAGGUCACUCUGUUCAACAUGCUGCAGAAGGGCUUUCAGUGAAAUCCCAGCCAUGUGAGGAGGAGGAGGCGUGUGACUCAGUUUAAAAUGCUGAGGAAAAGAAACUCAUUAUUGCUUCAACUCUUUCCUUAACUGCACUUUCAAAAGCUCUUUGGAUGGUCAGUGCUGAGAAGCGUCACAUAAGCGCCACAAAAGGCUCUAGCGGAGUGCGGGGUGCAGGUACGCAGCCUACCAAUACCCCUCGCCAUGGUCUGAAUGCUGGCUCUGCUGUGAAGCCGCACCCCAGUUGACCCCACUCCCCAUUUUGCUAGGCUCAGAAAACAAAAGCAAAGGGCAUCAGUUUUUUAACCACCAGAAAUAAAUAGUUCAAAUACCAGGGAGAGGAGGGUUGUCCCACUCCCUGUAGCAGCGGUAUUCAGUCCUCUGUAAUGAUCUGUGGGUGUCUAACCACUUUUCACUCAGAGCGCAGACGCACUGCAGUGGAUUUAGACCUUCCAGCAAGUUUCCUCUCUCAGUUCUCUUUUCAAGGGCCCCCUCCAAGGGUCAUUCACCAAGGAGACCAGCUCCAGCACAGGUAAAUACACACUGAGAGAGGGAAUCUCAUCCAAAAGUGCCAAAAGGAUGCUCUUUGGAGGGCUUUUUGAAGGUGGGAAAGCAGCCCUUGGGCAGAGCCAGCACUCCUGGCAGCACAGCUAAACCCACCACACCCAAUAGGAGGCCUCAGGGAGGGCAGCGACCUGACACUGCCCACCCAGCACAGAGGUGAGCUCCACUGACUGUAACAGAUCCCUUCCCAGGAGACCCAGCAUGGUGGCCAUGUGAGUAAAAGACAUUGCCAGGAGGAACACGGGGGCCCAGGGGUCCCACACAAACAUGUAGCUGUCCAAGUGUCUAGUUGCAGGGACUGCCUGAGCCUGGCGCUGGUAGCAGAGGACAGCAGAGAGAGGACGCCUGUGUGUGGCGUGAGCAAGGGAAGGAUCUGCUCACCCAGGCAGCAGAGCUGGAAGAGAAACCAGACAGGCUGAGGAGCAUCAGGGAGUGUGAGAGAGAAACAGACUGGUGGAGCCACAACCCGAGGCCAAGGCAGCAGACGGAGAUUCAUCAUCAAGCAGAGAAUUCCCUCCCCUCCCUGCCAUCAGGCAACAAGAGACCUAAAAGAGAGGGCAGUGUCAGGUCGCUGCUGGGGGCGGCAGGCCAAUCCUCCCCUGCUGCCCUGACGCAACGGGCCCGGGGCUCUGGAGCUGGAGGGCCAGGCUGCAGAGGAGGUGAAAAUCCACCCAGAGCCUUGCCCGGCGUGACUUAGCCAGCCCCACGCAUCAGGACUACUCGUGUUAAAAAGAAAGUAAUGGUCAUAGGUGAUUCCCUUCCAAGGGGAGCAGAGGGCCCUGCAUGCCCACCAGAUUCACGGCUCAGGGACGUGUGCUGCACCCCCGGGCCUGGCUCAGACACGUCCCCAGCCUGGGGCAGCCCCCUUACCGUUUUAAAGGCCACUGUCUUCAUUCCAAAGUGUAAACCAAAUUUUCAAGAGGAUUCCAAAGCACAUCCCAAAGGGGGCUGAGAAGAACAGAA
Molecule: long non-coding RNA, 2601 nt
Organism: Pogoniulus pusillus (Red-fronted tinkerbird)
Lineage: Eukaryota; Metazoa; Chordata; Aves; Piciformes; Lybiidae
Exons: 3
Source: RefSeq, a predicted model, not a curated record